RNAcentral lists this ribosomal RNA (253 nucleotides) under uncultured bacterium. RNAcentral's name for it is "partial 16S ribosomal RNA". It matches the Rfam family "Bacterial small subunit ribosomal RNA", at positions 524 to 776 of the family's 1533-position model. The record is from RNAcentral.
GACGAACCGUGCGAACGUUGUUCGGAAUCACUGGGCUUAAAGGGAGCGUAGGCGGGCUAACAAGUCUGGGGUGAAAUGCCGCGGCUCAACCGUGGAACUGCCUCAGAUACUGUCGGCCUCGAGGGAGAUAGGGGCAUGCGGAACUAACGGUGGAGCGGUGAAAUGCGUUGAUAUCGUUAGGAACUCCGGUGGCGAAAGCGGCGUGCUGGAUCUCUUCUGACGCUGAGGCUCGAAAGCUAGGGGAGCAAACGGG